UUCCGGUUGAUCCCGCCGGACCUGACUGCUAUCGGAUUGAUACUAAGCCAUGCGAGUCUUUGCAGUAAUGCAAGGCAUACGGCUCAGUAACACGUAGUCAACCUACCCUAUGGACGAGAAUAAUCUCGGGAAACUGAGCAUAAUUCUUGAUAGAUCAUAAUGCCUGGAAUGGUUUAUGGUUAAAAUGAUUCGUCGCCAUAGGAUGGGACUGCGGCCUAUCAGCUUGUUGGUGAGGUAAUGGCCCACCAAGGCGAUUACAGGUACGGGCUCUGAGAGGAGAAGCCCGGAGAUGGGUACUGAGACACGGACCCAGGCCCUAUGGGGCGCAGCAGGCGAGAAAACUUUGCAAUGUGCGAAAGCACGACAAGGUUAAUCCGAGUGAUUUCUGCUAAAGAAAUCUUUUGCCAGUCGUAAAACCGCUGGUGAAUAAGGGGUGGGCAAGUUCUGGUGUCAGCCGCCGCGGUAAAACCAGCACCUCAAGUGGUCAGGAUGAUUAUUGGGCCUAAAGCAUCCGUAGCCUGCUUUGUAAGUUUUCGGUUAAAUCCAUGUGCUCAACGCAUGGGCUGCCGAAAAUACUGCAUAGCUAGGGAGUGGGAGAGGUAGACGGUACUCAGUAGGUAGGGGUAAAAUCCUUUGAUCUAUUGAUGACCACCUGUGGCGAAGGCGGUCUACCAGAACACGUUCGACGGUGAGGGAUGAAAGCUGGGGGAGCAAACCGGAUUAGAUACCCGGGUAGUCCCAGCUGUAAACGAUGCAGACUAGAUGAUGCAUUGGCAUAAUAGCCAUUGCAGUGUCUCAGGGAAGCCGUUAAGUCUGCCGCCUGGGAAGUACGUACGCAAGUAUGAAACUUAAAGGAAUUGGCGGGGGAGCACCACAAGGGGUGAAGCCUGCGGUUCAAUUGGAUUCAACGCCGG
Molecule: ribosomal RNA, 914 nt
Filed under: uncultured marine archaeon
Lineage: Archaea
Description: bacterial SSU rRNA
Rfam family: Archaeal small subunit ribosomal RNA
Source: RNAcentral